GUAUAAGAGACAGCAGUCGCCACGGGAAUACGGAGGGUGCAAGCGUUAAUCGGAAUUACUGGGCGUAAAGCGCACGCAGGCGGUCUGACAAGUCAGAUGUGAAAUCCCCGGGCUUAACCUGGGAACUGCAUUUGAAACUGUCAGGCUGGAGUCUUGUAGAGGGGGGUAGAAUUCCAGGUGUAGCGGUGAAAUGCGUAGAGAUCUGGAGGAAUACCGAUGGCGAAGGCAGCCAUCUGGCCUAAUACUGACGCUGAGGUACGAAAGCAUGGGGAGCAAACAGGAUUAAAUACCCCGGUAGUCCCUGUCUCUUAUAA
RNAcentral lists this ribosomal RNA (314 nucleotides) under uncultured bacterium. RNAcentral describes it as "partial 16S ribosomal RNA". It matches the Rfam family "Bacterial small subunit ribosomal RNA", at positions 495 to 809 of the family's 1533-position model. The record is from RNAcentral.